CGGGGAGUGGCGCAGCUGGCUAGCGUACGUGCUUUGGGAGCACGGGGUCCCGGGUUCGAAUCCCGGCUCCCCGACCA
Molecule: transfer RNA, 77 nt
Filed under: Candidatus Zapsychrus exili
Lineage: Bacteria; Pseudomonadati; Candidatus Omnitrophota
Description: tRNA-Pro
Rfam family: tRNA
About the family: Transfer RNA (tRNA) molecules are approximately 80 nucleotides in length. Their secondary structure includes four short double-helical elements and three loops (D, anti-codon, and T loops). Further hydrogen bonds mediate the characteristic L-shaped molecular structure. tRNAs have two regions of fundamental functional importance: the anti-codon, which is responsible for specific mRNA codon recognition, and the 3' end, to which the tRNAs corresponding amino acid is attached (by aminoacyl-tRNA synthetases). tRNAs cope with the degeneracy of the genetic code in two manners: having more than one tRNA (with a specific anti-codon) for a particular amino acid; and 'wobble' base-pairing, i.e. permitting non-standard base-pairing at the 3rd anti-codon position.
Source: RNAcentral